Molecule: ribosomal RNA, 496 nt
Filed under: uncultured bacterium
Lineage: Bacteria
Description: partial 16S ribosomal RNA
Rfam family: Bacterial small subunit ribosomal RNA
Source: RNAcentral
GAUGAACGCUGGCGGCGUGCCUAAUACAUGCAAGUCGAGCGAACGGACGAGAAGCUUGCUUCUCUGAUGUUAGCGGCGGACGGGUGAGUAACACGUGGAUAACCUACCUAUAAGACUGGGAUACUUCGGGAAACCGGAGCUAAUACCGGAUAAUAUUUUGAACCACAUGGUUCAAAAGUGAAAGACGGUCUUGCUGUCACUUAUAGAUGGAUCCGCGCUGCAUUAGCUAGUUGGUAAGGUAACGGCUUACCAAGGCAACGAUGCAUAGCCGACCUGAGAGGGUGAUCGGCCACACUGGAGCUGAGACACGGUCCAGACUCCUACGGGAGGCAGCAGUAGGGAAUCUUCCGCAAUGGGCGAAAGCCUGACGGAGCAACGCCGCGUGAGUGAUGAAGGUCUUCGGAUCGUAAAACUCUGUUAUUAGGGAAGAACAUAUGUGUAAGUAACUGUGCACAUCUUGACGGUACCUAAUCAGAAAGCCACGGCUAACUACGUG